Long non-coding RNA from Talpa occidentalis (Iberian mole), 617 nucleotides. RefSeq lists it as uncharacterized. Lineage: Eukaryota; Metazoa; Chordata; Mammalia; Eulipotyphla; Talpidae. The record is from RefSeq and is a predicted model, not a curated record. The transcript is spliced from 4 exons.
UUGCUGCAGUGAUCUACCUAUGCUCAAUGCUGGCCAGGGACGUGACUCAUCAUCCAUGAGACAGCAAAGGUGAAUCAGCUCGGCAGGAUCACGCUUAAAGGCUAAACCAUAGGAUGGCUGUAUUAAUUCUUUUCUGUGAAAAAAAAGCAUCCAAGUGUUUUACUGACUGAAGAGUGCAGUAGAAUCUGCUAGUUUAACAUCAUUCUCCGAACUAAUGCAGCACAGAUUGGAGUUUCUGGAACAAAGGCCCUCUAUGGACUGAAUGAGCACAACUACUUUGGGGAGUAAAAACUGCUUUACUGAGUCUACUGAUUCAAAUACUAGUUUUAUUCAAACCAGUCCCAGAGGCCAUGGGAAUGGAUCAUGCCCAUUAAUCUGAGCUGUGUCAUGAGCUGCUGAAGGAAUGUGAUGGGUUCAUGCAGACACACAUGGCCCUGGAAGCAGGAGGAGGAGAUGGUCUCCCAGGAUUCUGUCAUUAUGAGGAAGAAAUGGUGAUACCAAGAUGGCCAAACUGACCUAUUCUCCUCACCUCAAUGGCACAAGAAAUCAGUGACUGACAUUUUCUUUAGGAGUCAAAGAAGCCUUCGUGAGUGUAUUCUCCAUGAAAAGGAGAUGUU